UGAGACAUGUUUUCAUGGUGUGGGAAUAAGACUUGGUGGUCUUUUACAGCUAAUACAAAGGUUAGCAUCACAGCUUGUCUGUAAGGAUUGAAGCUGGGAGUGGGCAUUGGAGCUGACUUUUAUGAUAAAUGUGGCUGCAUAAAAUGGUUGUGUGGGAUAUAACUGCAACAGUAAAGAAUGUAAUUCAGACUAUUUUUAUGUAUGCUUGAGAAAAUGUUUAUAAUUUUUUUACAAAAAAAAAAAAAAAUAUGUAAAGAUUCUCCAUUUUCAACAAGAUUGGAAGUUGUAGGUUAACUUGUAUUUGACAUUACAAAAAUUCUUUCUAUUUUCCGUUUAUACUCAUGUCUAGUCAAAACACUUCCAGCAGUUUAAGAAUGGAUAAUCUAAAAGAAAAAGAAAGAAAAAAGAAAAAAAAAUGUUCAAUUAUUGAAAUGUAUUUUUUUUUUGCAAAUUGUAAUGUAUAUAUUUUUGCCAUCUUUUUGUUAUUUUAGGAUUUGAGAUACUUUCAAAUUUUACAAGUUACUUUAUACAUGUAGUUAAUGCAAUUAAAUCUGCCGAUGUGAAUAUUGCCACUAAAUUUCUUAGCAAAAAUUUUAAUUAUUUUUGUUUUUUUUAGCAAUGUUUCAAAAUACCUUACCAUAGCAAAUGCCUCUCUAGUGUAAACUAAAA
Long non-coding RNA from Mytilus californianus (California mussel), 669 nucleotides. RefSeq lists it as uncharacterized. The record is from RefSeq and is a predicted model, not a curated record. NCBI's taxonomy places the organism in Eukaryota, Metazoa, Mollusca, Bivalvia, Mytilida, Mytilidae. The transcript has 3 exons.